This 912-nucleotide long non-coding RNA is filed under the name Mustela putorius furo (domestic ferret). Its description in RNAcentral is "lncRNA (ENSMPUG00000025660.1)". The record is from RNAcentral. Lineage: Eukaryota; Metazoa; Chordata; Mammalia; Carnivora; Mustelidae.
CUGGAAUUCACUGGAACAUUCAAUGUGCCAUCACCACAAGGAGGUGAAGGCCAUUUCUGGGUCAGAGAAGGUGACAUUGCCUAUUUGUUCUCUUCCCGUUUCUUCUCCCAAUCGCUCCCACAUCUGACUGAUCUUUUUUCAUUCUACUCUGCAUUUUUGACAGAGACAGGAAAACAAGGCUGUCUGCCAGUUUCAGAUGUCCUGACUUCUUGCCUGGAUGGAAACACGCUGAGUUGGAAUGAGAUAAUGCUGGGGUAUCUUUCCCCUGAAACCGGGAGGGAAAUGUGACUAGGUAUGCGGGGGUCAGACUCCCACCCCAGCGAUUCACCCAGAGCCACAGAGAGGCUUAGCCGACCUCUGCUCUCCCCUUCCUCAUCAGGGAGACAAAGUUCCCAGGGCAGCCCGAGCCAGAACUAGCUGUUUCAGUAGCUGCAAUGUGGCAUUCAGCUCCUCUAGAAGGCUGCUGGAACCAAGUCCACUGCUUGGUCCCUAGGAAGGGGUUCUGGAAUUAUCUGGCUUUUUUUUUUUUUUUUUUUAAUCUCCCCUGAAGCCCUUUGACAAAGCAAAAAGGAAAGUAGUCAACGCAGCAAAUGUCCAACAGCCUUCCAGACAGUCCGGAUCUAUCCAUCGCAGCCUGGGCCGGUUCAUUACACACUGUGAGGAGACCGGUCCCGGGUCCCUAAGCAGGUUGAUGCUGGCCCGUAGGCAGGAGUGUUCAUGAAGGACACAGAGCAUGAGGAGCUGAGCUGGACUGAGUACAUCAGUGUCCUGGAGACUGCCAGAGAAGACAAAUCCUUUCCUCACGACCACCGAGGCCACGCAUCGGGGGAAAUGCCUCUGAGGACCUCAAGGAUACACAUAAUUGGCGUCUCUAUCUGGGAGAGGAGGGUUUGCCCUGACCACUGAGCACCC